This is a long non-coding RNA of Chinchilla lanigera (long-tailed chinchilla), 935 nucleotides long. RefSeq lists it as uncharacterized. Lineage: Eukaryota; Metazoa; Chordata; Mammalia; Rodentia; Chinchillidae. The transcript is spliced from 3 exons. The record is from RefSeq and is a predicted model, not a curated record.
CUGUAACACGAGCAUUUGUGGGAAGAGAGAAACCCAUAAAGUUGUUAUUGCCAGUAAGGAAUCCAGAACCAGAGUGCUGAGCUACAAGGGGCCAGCCAGGGUCUCCACCUCCCAUGGUCACGGGAGCCGAGCAGGGCCUGGAAGUUUCUGGAAGUUUCUGGAAGUUUCUGGAUGGCGGAGCACCUGAAGGUCCCCAGCCCUCCCCACAGCCCUCGCCCCGGCGUCUCCCCCAUCGGGACAUCCAGCGACAUCUGUGGAAAUGUACGGUGCUGCCCUCCAUCCUGUGAGCUGCCUUCGCAGAUGCAUGCGGCGUGAGGACGCAGAUGCACAGGUCCCAGGCGGGGACCUGCGGGGACACUGCGCACACGAGCCCCCAGCCGGGGGGCGUGACCGUGUCUGCGCCCAGUGGAUCCGCCGGGGGUGGCUGCAGGCGGCAGCUGGUGGGAAAAUCCCCGCGCGGCGGUGACGCGGAAGUGGGCGUGGAUCACGCGCACGAGAAGGGUUUGGUGGUCCCCGUCCCAACUCCGGGGGCUUCGGGUGUGGCGGGAAGAGGGCCAGGCUGCUGAGGACAAAGGAACCUCGGGCUUCCUGUACGACACGGCGUGAGCAGAUGGGAGGGGAGGGGAGAGGGCAGGACGGCAGGGCCCGCGGACACCUGUCCCCGUCUCUGGUGGCAGCGGCACGGCGCAGAGCAGCUGGGGGCGGGGAUCUCAGAGUGCCGUCCAGAUGCAGCGUUAGCUACAGCCCUACGAGGGGGCGUCCCGGUCCUGGCCGUCCUGCGGGCCACCUUGGAGCUCCUCAUAGAACAGAGCGAGUUCCCUGGAUUUUCUGUGAGACAAAAGAAGCCCCAGCCACCCAGCCAUGUGACACACACCUGUCAUCCCAGUGCUCUGGGAGGCUGAGACAGGAGGGUGGCAAGUUGGAGCUCAGCUUGG